GCCCCUGGAGAUCCAUUUAUGACGACACAAAAGAGCUCAGCGUCAGUCACGCAGUGUUUCUAGUCCAGUCCGGAAUGUGCAGCUCAGGGGAAAGGCUGCACUCCCCGAAAGUGCACGGGGUUUGCGACGUUAGCUAUGACUGAGAGACCACUCCAGACUGGAGGAGCGUGCAACAAGUCCCAGGACCAGAAAGGAAAACAAGCAUCCUUGAAAGCCGGAACAAUCUGAGAGGAAUCGGUGUAUCGGAUCCAUUGAACCAGCUGGGAGAGUAGGGCUCCGACUCUGAAGGGCUCAAAGCGACUAGGACCCAGCUCCUCUCCAAGUUGGCUUAGCUGUCCUCUGUCUGUUUCUCUCCUUCUCAACCCAUGAGUGAUAGCAAGAUGGGGAAAACUGGAUCUGUCCAUAAAAGUCAGGGGGGGCAUGAUGAAGUCUCACACCAUCUUACUGUGCACUGCCCAAGACUUGAAUCAUGGCUUUGUUCAGGGUAUCCGUACUGUAUGUGCUACCUGCCUGUUCAUCACUUAGUAUCCAUUUCAGUUACCACACCUACUGGCACAGUAUCCCAUCCUUGUGUUCAAGUCACCCUUAUUUUAUAUUAGAACAGCCCCAAUGCACAAGAAUAAGUGAUGCUGGCAACUGAGUUACCGUAUAUUGCUAUAAUUGUUCUAUUUAUUUAUUGUUGAUUUCUUACUGUGUCUAAUUUGUAAUUUAAACUCCAUGAAAAGUAUAUAGAUAGAGAGAGAGAGAGAAAGCAGUGUAUGAUGGUGUUAUUCACGGUUUCCGGCAUGCACCUGGAGGUCUUGGCACCUAUACUGCACCUGUAAGUAGGUGCCACUCUUC
This 840-nucleotide long non-coding RNA is filed under the name Fukomys damarensis (Damara mole-rat). RNAcentral's name for it is "lncRNA (ENSFDAG00000031688.1)". Lineage: Eukaryota; Metazoa; Chordata; Mammalia; Rodentia; Bathyergidae. The record is from RNAcentral.